AAGACCAAACGAAAGAGAAAUCAGGCCGUCCGCCCUUCCUCCCUUUCGAAUGUUGCAUCGUCAGAGCAUCUCUCGUCCACAAGAGACAACAAAAGAAAAUGCUUGGCGUUCAGUCGAGCCGAACACGAGGAAGACAAAGGCGUCCGUGACCAAGAUGAAAGAGCACAGGAGGAAAGCGAUCCGCCAUUGAGCCAGAGUUUGCUGGGAAAUUCUUGAUACGAAAGGAAAGGAGGCAACUCGCUUAUUACCUGUCCUUCCGUCAGCGAAGCAACCACCAGAGGCGCUAGCCAACUGUUGACCGAAGCCACACCGCUAAUUAUUCCGUAGAUUGUCCCUGAGAAAUGAGGCGCCACAUCCAGAUGUCCGACGGCCAUUACCAGCAACACGAGAGUUGACAAACGAUCGCAGCCAGUAAAUGAAACCAUCAAUAAACAAAGAGCAGGACCUAGUUUGGCUUUGGAAAAAUAAAAGGGAAAUGGUUCAAAUAGUGCGGUGGCUUACACGCGACACGAGGAAAACAAAUUCGAGUUUCGUAAACAAACUUACCGAUUGUAUUGGCCGUCUUUCGAAUGACGUUGGUCGUUGCCCAGCCUCUUCGCGCCGUUAAAUCUGCAAACUGGGCCACCAAAAGACUCAAUAUCCACAUGACCAAAUAAGGAAGGGCCGAUAGUAAUGCGUUCUGAACACGAAAAAGGACCAUUUUUUAAAUGGGAGACGUAAAAGAAAAUGUUUUUCUCGUGGCCGAUGAAACUCACACGCUUUUCAUGUCAAAGUGGAGGAUCGUUUUCAUAUAGAUGGGAAGUUGAGUGAUCAACAUGUAAAAUGCCCAGUUAUUUCCAAGGGUGGCCACCAGCAGAGCCCAGCAGGGAAUCGAAGUUGCGAUGGACAUCCAGGGCACUGCCAUUGUCUGACAACAGGAAACCCUUUGUAGCUUGCAGGCAAAAAAAUUCUGGGGUGCAGUUCUGGUGAAUCGUAAACCACGUAAAGCCAAACUCCAACCACAACUGGUGCCAGAGAUCCUUGAAUGUAGAAAACAGCCUCCCACCCCCAAAAAUCAGCCAUCAAUCCACUGCAAGUGAUUCCUAGGACUGUGCCAACUUGAGCACCUGAAAAUAUGAAAGUGGAGAUGCUGCUACGCUCUCCACUCGGAGCCCAUUUUGCCACCAAUGGCUGAAUGGAAGGAACAAUCACUCCCUUCCAACAACCCCAUCAGUUUAUCGAGUUCCAGUUCUCGCCAAAACGGGAAGACAAAUCGUAACGAGGCCGGCCGUCGUUUGCGCACCGGCAAACAUGUAUUUAGUGCCGAAUCGUUCUGCUAUCCUUCCGCCAAUCAGCUGCGUGAUGAUGUAUCCCCAGAAGAAAGAAACGGACACCAACGACUGGAUUUUCUCAUCCCAAACAAACUCGCCAUCUUUCUGAGCCACUUCCACUGCCGCUUCUGGGUGGCCGCAUUCCUCGGCCGUCGUAAUGUUUGUGUGCGGAAUAGCUGUGUAGUUGACCAUGGCCACAAUGACAAUGUUGAUAUUCAAGCGGACCAUGUAGACGUACAGGAAAUUGAGAAAAGCCACAACGGCCACUGCGUAACGGGCCCGAAUACCUUCAAACAUUUUGUUUUUAAAAAGCACUUUGUCUUUCUCACAGGGGCAUUUUAAAACUACUGCCCACUCCUUCUACUGUUGUAAAAAGAAACAGUUGAAGAAAAACACACACCCCCUCAGAUCGCUAUCUGAGAUGUGCUUCAAGAGAGGCUGAUGUAUCGUUUUCCGGUUGAAAUGGGAUACAGCCCAUUGGCUACUUUGUUGGUCGGUACAAAGAGGCUUGUGUUACAGAUUUUAAAAGCUGAUGUUUACUGGCUGGAAUGUCAUCAAUGUUACCAUUCAAAACCUUUUCUUCCGCCGCCCUGUCCCACUCUUGCCGCUCGGUUGAGCCGAACAGGA
Molecule: long non-coding RNA, 1937 nt
Organism: Daphnia carinata
Lineage: Eukaryota; Metazoa; Arthropoda; Branchiopoda; Diplostraca; Daphniidae
Exons: 8
Source: RefSeq, a predicted model, not a curated record